UACAGAGGGUGCAAGCGUUAAUCGGAUUUACUGGGCGUAAAGCGUGUGUAGGUGGCUUCCUAAGUCGGUUGUGAAAUCCCUGGGCUCAACCUGGGAAUUGCAGUCGAUACUGGGAAGCUCGAGUUCGGUAGAGGGUGACGGAAUUCCCGGUGUAGCGGUGAAAUGCGUAGAUAUCGGGAGGAAUACCUAUGGCGAAAGCAGGUAUCUGGGCCAUCACUGACGCUGAGCUGCGAAAGCUAGGGGAGCAAACAGG
Molecule: ribosomal RNA, 253 nt
Filed under: uncultured bacterium
Lineage: Bacteria
Description: partial 16S ribosomal RNA
Rfam family: Bacterial small subunit ribosomal RNA
Source: RNAcentral